AAUGAACGCUGGCGGCAUGCCUUACACAUGCAAGUCGAACGGCAGCAUGACCUAGCUUGCUGGUUGAUGGCGAGUGGCGAACGGGUGAGUAAUGCAUCGGAACGUGCCUUUUAGUGGGGGAUAACGUAGCGAAAGUUACGCUAAUACCGCAUAUUCUCCUGAGGAGGAAAGCAGGGGACCUUCGGGCCUUGCGCUAGAAGAGCGGCCGAUGUCGGAUUAGCUAGUUGGUGAGGUAAAGGCUCACCAAGGCAACGAUCCGUAGCGGGUCUGAGAGGAUGAUCCGCCACACUGGGACUGAGACACGGCCCAGACUCCUACGGGAGGCAGCAGUGGGGAAUUUUGGACAAUGGGCGCAAGCCUGAUCCAGCCAUGCCGCGUGAGUGAAGAAGGCCUUCGGGUUGUAAAGCUCUUUUCGGCUGGGAAGAAAUCGCACUCUCUAAUACCAGGGUGUGGAUGACGGUACCAGCAUAAGAAGCACCGCU
RNAcentral lists this ribosomal RNA (482 nucleotides) under Rhodocyclus sp. oral taxon 028. RNAcentral's name for it is "bacterial SSU rRNA". It matches the Rfam family "Bacterial small subunit ribosomal RNA", at positions 29 to 497 of the family's 1533-position model. The record is from RNAcentral. Lineage: Bacteria; Pseudomonadati; Pseudomonadota; Betaproteobacteria; Rhodocyclales; Rhodocyclaceae.